AUGCUGCUCACCCCCACUCGCCACCUACCCAUCCUGCUUUGGGCAAUCCUGGAGCUCGUGGCGGCGCCGAAUGAUGCACGGUGCCCCACUAGGCACUGCCGAUCGAUGGGCCAUCCUCCGUAUGCGAAGCCCCCACCCCGCCGCGCGGUGGCCCCAGCUGCACCCGACAACGCCCCGGACAGCCCUUCAGUCUUCCCUGAGAGAGCCAGAGACUUCUUACCAAGGAAUCAGCAGAUGAUAAAUCUAACAAGCUUCUGCCUCCAUCUCUUGAAGACAGUCUCCCUCAAGUCUUCUGGCCUCCUGGCUAAACAUUCCCAGCUCCUUCAUUUGCUUGUCGUCAAGAUGAUUUCAAGUUUUACCUCCAUCCUGAAGGACUAGCUUGGCAUCAUUUCCAAAAUGCAGUGCUGAAUGAGAACUGAACCACCAUAUCCCAGAUGGGACUUGAUGAAAGUCUGAUUAUCUUAUCUUUUAUCAGAAAACAUAGAUCUGGAAGGAACCCUGUAGGGCAUCUAGUCUCCCCUACCCCCAUUAUACGGGUAAGAAAAGAUUUGCUCAGUCACACCAGUAGUAAGGAGCAGAGCUGAGAUUCAAAUACAGAUCUUUUGACUCCAGUGUGUCCCUUAUUUUAUGAUAUAGAAGUAACCAUGUAAACAAAGCAAAAUUAUCAAUAAAGGCUUGCUUUCCCCAUGGCCUAAAUCUGGG
RNAcentral lists this long non-coding RNA (702 nucleotides) under Phascolarctos cinereus (koala). RNAcentral's name for it is "lncRNA (ENSPCIG00000027930.2)". The record is from RNAcentral. Lineage: Eukaryota; Metazoa; Chordata; Mammalia; Diprotodontia; Phascolarctidae.